RNAcentral lists this ribosomal RNA (466 nucleotides) under uncultured bacterium. RNAcentral's name for it is "partial 16S ribosomal RNA". It matches the Rfam family "Bacterial small subunit ribosomal RNA", at positions 29 to 506 of the family's 1533-position model. The record is from RNAcentral.
ACGAACGCUGGCGGCGUGCUUAACACAUGCAAGUCGAACGGAAAGGCCCUGCUUUUGUGGGGUGCUCGAGUGGCGAACGGGUGAGUAACACGUGAGUAACCUGCCCUUGACUUUGGGAUAACUUCAGGAAACUGGGGCUAAUACCGGAUAGGAGCUCCUGCUGCAUGGUGGGGGUUGGAAAGUUUCGGCGGUUGGGGAUGGACUCGCGGCUUAUCAGCUUGUUGGUGGGGUAGUGGCUUACCAAGGCUUUGACGGGUAGCCGGCCUGAGAGGGUGACCGGCCACAUUGGGACUGAGAUACGGCCCAGACGCCUACGGGAGGCAGCAGUGGGGAAUAUUGCACAAUGGGCGGAAGCCUGAUGCAGCAACGCCGCGUGCGGGAUGACGGCCGUCGGGUUGGAAACCGCUUUCGCCUGUGACGAAGCGUGAGGGACGGUAAUGGGUAAAGAAGCACCGGCUAACUACGU